This 493-nucleotide ribosomal RNA is filed under the name uncultured marine bacterium. Its description in RNAcentral is "bacterial SSU rRNA". It matches the Rfam family "Bacterial small subunit ribosomal RNA", at positions 1 to 492 of the family's 1533-position model. The record is from RNAcentral.
UAGAGUUUGAUCCUGGCUCAGGAUGAACGCUAGCGGCAGGCUUAACACAUGCAAGUCGAGGGGUAACAGGAAUAGCUUGCUAUUUGCUGACGACCGGCGCACGGGUGCGUAACGCGUAUAGAACCUACCUUUUACAGGGGAAUAGCCCAGAGAAAUUUGGAUUAAUGCCCCAUAGUAUUAUUGAAUGGCAUCAUUUAAUAAUUAAACAUUUAUGGGUAAAAGAUGGCUAUGCGUUCUAUUAGCUAGUAGGUAAGGUAACGGCUUACCUAGGCAACGAUAGAUAGGGGUCCUGAGAGGGAGAUCCCCCACACUGGUACUGAGACACGGACCAGACUCCUACGGGAGGCAGCAGUGAGGAAUAUUGGGCAAUGGAGGCAACUCUGACCCAGCCAUGCCGCGGGCAGGAAGACGGCCCUAUGGGUCGUAAACUGCUUUUAUACAGGAAGAAACCUUGGUACGUGUACCAAGCUGACGGGUACUGUAAGAAUAAGCA